GGAUUCUAUCAAAUAUUUGAGGCAAGUUGUUGCACCAUCUCUUCCUAUAUAUAUCUCCCAAAACAUAGCAUACAAAUACACAAGAAAAAUAAAAAAAUAAUAAUAUCAUUGUCUAUUGAGAUAUAGUAUACAAAAUGGAGAAGACAUCAAUUGUUAAUUUGCUCUCUCUUAUUGCCUUGUUAAUUUUGUUAGGUUCACCAUCACGUAUGGUAUCAGGACAUGUAUCUCAAAAGUGUCACGUUAAAGAAGAUUGUAAUCCUGCAUCGUGCAUCGAUGGUGGAAUUAUGAUUUGUUUCCAGCAAGUUUGUACGUGUGUAUGGUGGGAUCAUAAGGAAGGGCAAAAAAAUACAAUGAUUGUAUAAGCAUAUGUCCACAUAAAAAUGUAUUGGAUUUUUCUUUUGUAAUGAUUGUUAAAUCCAAAAUUAAGAUAUGUUUAAGGUAUACAAAAAAAUAUUUUAUCUUAUUAAA
This is a non-coding RNA of Solanum lycopersicum (tomato), 468 nucleotides long. Lineage: Eukaryota; Viridiplantae; Streptophyta; Magnoliopsida; Solanales; Solanaceae. The record is from RefSeq and is a predicted model, not a curated record.